CCAGUCGGCUGGGCGGCCGCGGGCGCAUGCUGGAAACGGCGCGUUCGAGGAAAGUCCGGGCUCCAUGCGGCAACGGCGGCGGGUAACGCCCGCCGGGAGUGAUCCUAGGGAUAGCGCCACAGAGAAUAGUCUGCCGGAGGGCUUCGGCCCAAAGGCGAUGGUGAAACGGUGGGGUAAGAGCCCACCGCGCCGACCGUAAGGACGGCGGCACGGCAAGCCCCGCCGGGAGCAAGACCGAAUAGGGAUGCUUGAGGCCUUGAGUCUCAGCCCGCCGUAGGGCCGCAUCCGGGUAGGUCGCGAGAACCAUGCGGCGACGCAUGGUCCAGAGGAAUGGUCGCCCAUCCCGCAAGGGUGGACAGAACCCGGCUUACAGGCCGACUGGCGCU
This 386-nucleotide RNase P RNA is filed under the name Hyphomonadaceae bacterium. RNAcentral describes it as "RNase P RNA component class A". It matches the Rfam family "Bacterial RNase P class A". Rfam says of the family: Ribonuclease P (RNase P) is a ubiquitous endoribonuclease, found in archaea, bacteria and eukarya as well as chloroplasts and mitochondria. Its best characterised activity is the generation of mature 5'-ends of tRNAs by cleaving the 5'-leader elements of precursor-tRNAs. Cellular RNase Ps are ribonucleoproteins. The record is from RNAcentral. Lineage: Bacteria; Pseudomonadati; Pseudomonadota; Alphaproteobacteria; Hyphomonadales; Hyphomonadaceae.